CCCUUUGUGGUGUAGUUGGUAUCACACUCGGCUGUAAUGGAACGUUUCAGAUAACCGAUUGGUCACCGGUUCGACUCCGGUCGAAGGGA
Terfezia boudieri ATCC MYA-4762 is the source of this 89-nucleotide non-coding RNA. NCBI's taxonomy places the organism in Eukaryota, Fungi, Ascomycota, Pezizomycetes, Pezizales, Pezizaceae. The record is from the annotation of a GenBank genome assembly.